CCGGGGCGGUGCGGAGGGCCGGGGCAGCGCGGCGAAGCUCUUGGCAUGCCUGGGGGCCAGGUACCUCCAAACCACGUCAGGCCAGAGUCUCAGCUUACUGCAACGCAAAAGAUGUGCCUUUGUGUCCAGAGUUGGUUCUUUCCGGUGGGUCCUUGGUCUCGCUGACUUCAAGAAUGAAGCCACGGAUCUUCGCGGUGUUACAGCUUUUAAAGGUGGCACGGACCCAAAGAGUGAGCAACAGCAAAAGAACAAAGCUUCCACAGCAUGAAAAUUGACCCCAGAGGGUUGCCGGCUGAUAGCUGCGGGGGGGGGGGGGGGGUGCGGGGAAGGGAAGGUGGUGGUGGUGGUGGCCAGCUUUUAUUCCCUUAUUUGUCCCCACCCACAUCCUGCUGAUUGCCCAUUUUACAGAGAGCUGAUUGGCCCAUUUUACAGAGUGCUGACUGGUCCAUUUUACAGUGCUGAUUGGUCCAUUUUACAAACCUCUAGCUAGCCACAGAGCACUGAUUGGUGCGUUUUACAAUCCUAGCUACAGAGUGCUGAUUGGUGCGUUUUACAAUCCUAGCUACAGAGUGCUGAUUGGUGCAUUUUACAAUCCUCUUGUAAGACCAAAGUUCUCUGAGUCCCCACCUGACCCAGAAAUCCAGCUGGCUUCACCUCUCACCUUCAGUGGGGGACGAAGGGGGGUGUGGUGUGAUACAACAGCUUCGUGACUUCAGCUAGUUGGUUUGCAAAGUGCCUGGGAUAGGAAGUGAGGAGCAGGCAGCAGGUGCUGGACCCAGGGAGCACAGCGGGUUCUCUUGCCUCUCUCCAAUACCCUAAUCCUGGGAAGUCUGAUUGGCUGAGGUAGCAAUGUGGUAGCAGCAGGUACAACACUCAACUAGUGCCACCUGUGUCCUGGGAACUGUUAGAAACUCUUGGUACCCUCUGUCGCAGCUCCCUGCAAUGUAGGUGCCAUCAUCACUGUACUUACAGAUGGGGAAGCAGGGGCGCCCAGUCAGGUUUGAGGGUGCAUAAGGCCCUGCCUCCCAGCCUGGGAAGCUAGGGAAAAGAGGGGCCCAUGGGCAGAUUUCUUAGGCCUGUCCUCUUUGGAAGAACGGAGAACAUUUACUAAUUACCAUUCGCUAAUUACCAUUCAGGCAAUUUCCAUAAUUGUCUCAAGAAAAGAUUUGAUCAGCCAAACUGUGAGCAGAAACAGCCUCGGCGGAGGGAAAGCCAAAGGCACAGCACGGGGUGCAGAAACCAAUGGAAACAGACCACACAGGCCACGGGGAGACCCGGAACGUCUGGGUCCAGUCUAGGCCCCUCCCCAUUCUAUAGAAAGGGAAGCUGAGGCGCAUGGAGGCCACGUGGCCCGACCCAGCUCCCAUGGAAAGUCUGUGAGCAAAACGGCAGAUUGUGCAUUGUGUGGGUUGUGCGCCACGUGGAGACAUUGGUAGCGUUGAAAUCCAUCAGGGCACAUUAUGGGGUUCGCUCUUGAAAACCCUCCCAAAGACAAUGCACCGUUCCUUGAAGCUAAUUGCUUUAGUUUGAGGUAAUAUUCGUCACAGAAACACCAGCAGUAACCUUUGGUCUUGGCAAAUUCUCCCCUCAAUCACAUAACGUAAACAGCGAUAAACGAGGGCUUUUUAAGGCUUUCUUCAUAAUGCGUUACACAUGCAUUUGUUACUGAAUCUGCGUGAGCUCCAAGCCCUGAAAUCUGAGCUCAGCUGGGAGGUGAGUGGGCUGGUCCGCCUGCGGUGGGGUCAGCGUCCCCAGGAGACACCCAGCCCAACCGGCCGGGCCCCUUCCCCCACUCCUCCUCCUCCCCUCCCUUCUCCCCACUCCUCCACCUUCUCACCAGCUUCUCUCUCUCCCCUUUCUCUCUAGCCCUUUCUUCUACUCUGUCUCCCUUUGUCUCACCCUGCAUCUCUUCUUUCUUUUUUCUGUCUUUCACUCUCUGGACCUGCUUGUGGUUCUUUUACUUUGUCAUCUUGGCCUCAGUUUCUGUGUGUCGGUGUUCUGCUCUCUGAUUUUCUCUGUAUUUCUCUCCUUGUACGAUUCUCUGUCUCUCCUUGUCUGACUGAUUCUCCCUCUUUGUCUCUUCAUCUCUCUCUCUCAUCUCUGUCUCUCCAACUGUCCCCUUACACAUACCCUGCAAAGAGCCUGGCUCCCCCUCCUCCUUCCUUUUCUACCCAGGGGAUUCAGAGGAGUAUUCACCUAGGGGUGGGGGAUUGCAGCAGUGGAGGAUGAACAAAGCAUUUGGGAGGCUCACAAGAAGGCUCAUGGUCUUUAGGUGGGGGUGGGAGAAGUCAGGGCGGGCUGCGUGGAGGUGAUGAAGUUCAUUUGAGUGAAGUCUGGGAGGAGCAAUAGGAACCGGCCACAUGGAGGUGGCAAGAACAGCAUUUCACGCAGAGGAACCAUGGACGCGCAGGCACAGGGAUGAAACCCUCUUGCUGUCUGCAUGGCCCUCACUGCACAGAGGAGUGACUGCCCCGAUCUGCUAGGCUAAGAGGAGGGCAAGGCGCAGAGAGGGCAAUGCUGCUAGAGGCAGGCCAUGAGUGGGUGACGGCAGGACCCAGCCAUCUCACCUGACCAGACCUGGGCCUUCCUCACUGAGGCAGCUCUUGUUGGCUUCCCAUCCCCAGGGAUCUCUGCAGGGACCACAGGUGGACAAACAGAAGGCUUCCAGAAAAUGGAAGGCUUUAUAGGGAGGGGAAAUGUUGCAGGACUGUGUUAAAAGUCCAUCUUCUUCCCCAGAAACCUGCCUGGUCCAUCUCAGGCAUGUCAGCCCCACCUCUCCAGGCCACAGGCCUCAGCGUGUCUGCUCCCUUCCCCACUCACCAUUGCCCACUUGGCCUCAGACUCUGCAAUUCUACCAGUCAAGCCCUCAUCCCCAUCCUGGACAGUGGCAGCUGCCGCCUCUCAGGCCCUGGCUCCCCGCACCCCCACAGCCUGUCUCCACUGUGGCCACCCAAGCCUGACCAUCCCUCCUCAGAUUAGACCCUCCAUGGCCAUCUCAGAGAGAAGCCGGCCCCACAACGUCCCAGAGACCAUACCUCUGACCCCUCCGUCACCACCGAAUGUUACCUUUUCAGAGGGGCCUCUUGUGGGCCCAAGGCCCUGCAAUUUUGCUUCACUGUGCCCCCCAACACACACAGAAUUUACUUAUUUUCUUGGGUCACUCUCCACCCCCACUUGACUGGGCUCCUAGAGCUGUGUGUUGCCUGCCCUGCCCUGGUGGGACAGUGUCCCUGAGCUGAGAACCUGACACUGGGGUGGGCACAGGAGGGGCUGCAGGCAGGGGAGCUGCAGGGUGCAGGGACAUGGUGCAGGCAUGGGGGCCCCAGGCCCUUCCAAGGGACGCUCCUGUCCCCCAGGUGCCCAGGCCCUCCAGGGAGGCACUCUCCACUUGCUGGGCUCUGCGAUUCAGACAGCGGGACCCUCAUGGGGCCCUGGCCUCACCUGUGAGCAGCAGGCUCUGGGGCUGCUCCAGGAAUGGAGCCAGAGGCCUCUGCAGGCCCUCGUGCUACUCAAAUAACAAGAACAUUGAACAUUGCAGCAGUGUAACGUAAAAGACCAGUUUCCUUCAGCACCCAUUUUAGUGAGCCUGAAAGAGAUUUCCUGACGGCCCCAGCCCAGAACCAGCCCUACGGUGGAGUGUCAGCAGAACCUCCGUGCUCCUCUCUGGCAGCUCCCUUGAGCCUUCAACCCCCUUGCCCAGUGGGGGCUAGGGAGGGGGAGUUGGGGGCAGGUCCUGCAGCCUCACUCCUGCCUUCUAAGGUCACUUCCAGGAAGCAUCUCCUCUGCGCCCUCCGACCUCCUAAACCCCCAAUCCUGAAUCUAUAUCCCCCACAUCAUGGUGAGGGCGGGUUUGUCAGGUUUUAAAAGCUUUAUUUUUUGGGCUUAGGGAUGUUUGAGUUUUCCUUUAAUUUUUCUUCUUUAAAACAUCCUCAU
Molecule: long non-coding RNA, 3933 nt
Filed under: Homo sapiens (human)
Lineage: Eukaryota; Metazoa; Chordata; Mammalia; Primates; Hominidae
Description: HSALNT0152296
Source: RNAcentral